AAUCACUUUUUCUAAGUAUGUCGGAGUGGUUGAGCAGAGAGAAAAAUGAAUACCCUAAGCGAACUAGAAAUCUGGAAAGAACCGAAAUAGAGGCAGUGUCUCAUGACACUUUACUUGAGGACUCACCUGCUGAACUGCUGAUCACUUCUAUAGAUUCCUUCAGCUAACCAGAACUGACUUCAUCAGAGAGUUAUGAUGGAUAAGUCUAUCAGUCUUCUACCUGAAUGCCCCAAGAUAUUGAUGAAGUCAACAAAACAUUGAGCCUCAGAACACAAGAAAUCUUGGACAAACUGGGAGACAGCUUGUCAGUAUCUAAGGGUCCAGUUUGUCCAGUACAGAGAGUUGCCAUAGGUGGACUGGCUACGCUGACCAGAGCCGCUCGAGCAUCCUGUGAGUUGCUGACUUUAUCAAGAAGGAAAAAGGAACACAAAAUCCUUUCCAAGGACUUUGAAAAUAGUCCAGUCAUUAAGAGCUGUAAAAGACUUGAGUUUAGAUCCAAUUCCCUCCUAAACAUCUGCAUGACAGCCUGUAACUUAACAUCAAGAAUAUCUGACACUCUCUAUCAGCUUAUACAGGCAUGGGAUUGCAAGCUGGUACAACCACUCUGGAAAUCAGUCUGGAGGUUCCUCAGAAAAUGGACAUAUUACUACCUGAAGACCCAGCUACACCUCUCCUGGGCAUACCCCAGAAGAUGCUUCAACAUAUAACAAGGACACAUGCUCCACUAUGUUCAUAGCAGCCUUAUUUAUAAUAGUCAGAAGCUGGAAAGAACCCAGAUGUCCUUCAAAGGAGGAAUGGAUACAGAAAUGUGGUACAUUCACACAAUGGAGUACUACUCAGCUAUUAAAAUCAAUGAAUUCAUGAAAUUCUUAGGCAAAUGGAUGGAAUUAGAAAGUAUCAUCCUGAGUGAUGUAACCCAGUUGCAAAAGAACACACAUGGUAUGCACUCACUGAUAAGUGGAUAUUAGCCCAAAAUCUCAGAAUAUCCAAGAUACAAUUUAUAGAACUCAUGAAGCUCAAGAAGAAGGAAGACCAAAGGGUGGGUGCUCUAGUCCUUCUUAGAAGAGGGAACAAAAUACUCAGGGUAGGAAAUAUGGAGACAAAAUGUGGAGCAGAGACUGUAGUAAAGGUCAUCCAGAGACUGCCCCACCUGGGAUCCAUCCCAUAUACAAUCACAAACCCCAGACACUAUUGCAGACGCCAAAAGUGCUUGCUGAAAGGAGCCUGAUAUAGCUGUCCCCUCUGAGACUCUUCCAGAGCCUGACAGAUACGGAGAUAGAUGCUUGCCGACAACCAGUGGACUGAGCACAGGGUCCCCAAGGGAAGAGAUACAAAAAGGACUGAAAGAAGCUGAAGGGGUUUGCAAACCCAUAGGAAGAACAACAAUAUUAACCAACCAGACUUCCCAGAACUCCCAGGAACUAAAACAGCAACUAAAGAGUGGAGGAACCCAUGGCUCCAACCACUUAUAUAACAGAGGAUGUCCUUGUGGGACAUCAGUGAGAAGAGAGGCCGUUCAUCUUCUGAAGGAUCAAUGCCCCAGUGUAGAUGAAUGCCAGGACAAGGGAGAGGGAAAGG
Molecule: long non-coding RNA, 1578 nt
Organism: Mus spicilegus (steppe mouse)
Lineage: Eukaryota; Metazoa; Chordata; Mammalia; Rodentia; Muridae
Source: Ensembl